UCCGUAGGUGAACCUGCGGAAGGAUCAUUACUGAGUGAGGGCC
This 43-nucleotide ribosomal RNA is filed under the name Phomopsis sp. MP4. Its description in RNAcentral is "partial 18S ribosomal RNA". Lineage: Eukaryota; Fungi; Ascomycota; Sordariomycetes; Diaporthales; Diaporthaceae. The record is from RNAcentral.